CCUGUACAUACAUUAUACUGUGAAUUCUCAGCUACUACGCACCUUCUCCACGCCAGUGUGGCCACCACAAGCACGCCCUCACCUCCUGCCUGCACUGUGUACCAUCUCACGCCCGCCGUCCAUCCCAACAACACACCAUCAAGAUGCCUGAAGGAGAUUGGGAGAAUGGCAAGUCCCAGGUGCUGUGUGAGGGCAGGAAGUCAGGCACAGAGAACUCCUUCGUGUGCCGCUACUGCCAGAGGGUCUUCCGCAAGAGUUACAAUCUGCUCAUCCACGAACGUUCACACGAGGACCACGCCAAGUGUCACUACGAUGUGUUCCGAGUUCGAUCAAGUCUGCAGUAGUUUCUUCUUGCAGGUGUAUGGAAUGUCAUGAAGCACUAAUAUGUAGAUGCAGGAAUUAAAAAAUUACAACUAUGCAACGCUGACUUAUAAACUGUGGUGAAGAGGCUGUGUACUGAAGCUCUCUGACCGCCCGCCCGCCCGCCCGCCCCUCCCAACACCUACAAGAUCUCCAGUCAUCGAUAAAGUCUCCUCGUCCUAGCCCACCAUCACAAGAACUUCCUACUACUGCCGCCACCUCCUCCUCCUCCAGCAGCUGUCUCUCCUUCUGCACUAGUUUCUGUGUUUUUUCUUGUUUUUUUGUGUUUUUUCUUCGUUUUUAUUGUGUAUGGAAAGUGUCUGGUGUUAGUACGAGGUUUUGUUGUCAUUCUUCCAUUCUUCUAAAGCUGCUGAUGAUGCUUCGCUGCCUCGUUGAGUUACUCCCCAUUGUCUUCCCCAAGCUUGCAUCACGCCUUCCUCCCUUACCUCCACAUUCCCUCCAUUUAUUCACCAUCUACCC
This 840-nucleotide unclassified non-coding RNA is filed under the name Homarus americanus (American lobster). RNAcentral's name for it is "protein odd-skipped-related 2-like, transcript variant X3". The record is from RNAcentral. Lineage: Eukaryota; Metazoa; Arthropoda; Malacostraca; Decapoda; Nephropidae.